Molecule: ribosomal RNA, 1341 nt
Filed under: uncultured bacterium
Lineage: Bacteria
Description: partial 16S ribosomal RNA
Rfam family: Bacterial small subunit ribosomal RNA
Source: RNAcentral
GACGAACGCUGGCGGCGUGCUUAACACAUGCAAGUCGAACGGUAAGGCUCCAGCUUGCUGGGGUACACGAGUGGCGAACGGGUGAGUAACACGUGGGUGACCUGCCCUGCACUUCGGGAUAAGCCUGGGAAACUGGGUCUAAUACCGGAUAGGACCGCACCGUGAGGGUGUGGUGGAAAGUUUUUUCGGUGUGGGAUGGGCCCGCGGCCUAUCAGCUUGUUGGUGGGGUAAUGGCCUACCAAGGCGGCGACGGGUAGCCGGCCUGAGAGGGUGGACGGCCACAUUGGGACUGAGACACGGCCCAGACUCCUACGGGAGGCAGCAGUGGGGAAUAUUGCACAAUGGGCGGAAGCCUGAUGCAGCGACGCCGCGUGGGGGAUGACGGCCUUCGGGUUGUAAACUCCUUUCACCAUCGACGAAGGGUUUCUGACGGUAGAUGGAGAAGAAGCACCGGCUAACUACGUGCCAGCAGCCGCGGUAAUACGUAGGGUGCGAGCGUUGUCCGGAAUUACUGGGCGUAAAGAGCUCGUAGGUGGUUUGUCGCGUCGUCUGUGAAAUUCCGGGGCUUAACUCCGGGCGUGCAGGCGAUACGGGCAUAACUUGAGUACUGUAGGGGAGACUGGAAUUCCUGGUGUAGCGGUGAAAUGCGCAGAUAUCAGGAGGAACACCGGUGGCGAAGGCGGGUCUCUGGGCAGUAACUGACGCUGAGGAGCGAAAGCAUGGGGAGCGAACAGGAUUAGAUACCCUGGUAGUCCAUGCCGUAAACGGUGGGCGCUAGGUGUGGGUUUCCUUCCACGGGAUCCGUGCCGUAGCUAACGCAUUAAGCGCCCCGCCUGGGGAGUACGGCCGCAAGGCUAAAACUCAAAGGAAUUGACGGGGGCCCGCACAAGCGGCGGAGCAUGUGGAUUAAUUCGAUGCAACGCGAAGAACCUUACCUGGGCUUGACAUAUACAGGAUCGCGCCAGAGAUGGUGUUUCCCUUGUGGCUUGUAUACAGGUGGUGCAUGGUUGUCGUCAGCUCGUGUCGUGAGAUGUUGGGUUAAGUCCCGCAACGAGCGCAACCCUUGUCUUAUGUUGCCAGCACGUUGUGGUGGGGACUCGUAAGAAACUGCCGGGGUUAACUCGGAGGAAGGUGGGGAUGACGUCAAAUCAUCAUGCCCCUUAUGUCCAGGGCUUCACACAUGCUACAAUGGUCGGUACAGUGGGUUGCCAGUCCGUGAGGGCGAGCUAAUCCCGCAAAGCCGGUCUCAGUUCGGAUCGGGGUCUGCAACUCGACCCCGUGAAGACGGAGUCGCUAGUAAUCGCAGAUCAGCAACGCUGCGGUGAAUACGUUCCCGGGCCU